GUUUCUUUGUUCUACAUUCUGCCUGCGGUCUUCGCUCUGCUUCUGAUCCUGACAUUUGUCCUUUUGUUGGUUUUAAAAUACAAAUCAAGGAUCAAGCAAGUGGAUGGAGUCAAUUCAAACGUGUUGUACUCUGAUGACAGUAAUGUGGAGAUGAGAACCAAUGAUAUCUAUGAGUUACAAGAGGAUGCUGUUUACAUGAACUCUUCCACUCCAAACAUGUUGAAUCAUGAUGACAAUGAUAUCUACAACAACAUCCUUUAAAGGAGACAAGCAGAAGUUAGGAAACACGUGACCAGUGUUUCUCACAUCUAGUGUAACAGCUCACUAUGGCAACCAGAUGCUGGUGUGUUUUCAUUUAGACAUGUUUUUAAUAUUUAUUAAAUAACAUUAUCUGAACGUGAGCUAUCCAAUAUUUCCAAAUGCUGUAAUUUCAAUGUUAUUGCAUUGAAUAUAUAAGCUGCAAUAAACCAACC
Long non-coding RNA from Gambusia affinis (western mosquitofish), 473 nucleotides. RefSeq lists it as uncharacterized. The transcript has 3 exons. Lineage: Eukaryota; Metazoa; Chordata; Actinopteri; Cyprinodontiformes; Poeciliidae. The record is from RefSeq and is a predicted model, not a curated record.